This 460-nucleotide ribosomal RNA is filed under the name uncultured bacterium. RNAcentral's name for it is "partial 16S ribosomal RNA". It matches the Rfam family "Bacterial small subunit ribosomal RNA", at positions 338 to 795 of the family's 1533-position model. The record is from RNAcentral.
CCUACGGGAGGCAGCAGUGAGGAAUAUUGGUCAAUGGCCGGAAGGCUGAACCAGCCAUGCCGCGUGAAGGUCAGUGCCCUAUGGGCGUUAAACUUCUUUUGUGCGGGAGCAAUAAUGGUCACGUGUGGCCAGACGAGAGUACCGUACGAAUAAGCAUCGGCUAACUCCGUGCCAGCAGCCGCGGGAAUACGGGGGAUGCAAGCGUUAUCCGGAGUUAUUGGGUUUAAAGGGUGCGUAGGCUGUGAGGUAAGUCAGCGGUGAAAUGCCCCCGCUCAACGGGGUGAAGUGCCAUUGAUACUGGCUGGCUGGAAGGCGGAUGCCGUGGGAGGAAUGUGUGGUGUAGCGGUGAAAUGCAUAGAUAUCACACAGAACACCGAUUGCGAAGGCAUCUCACGAAUCCGCGAUUGACGCUGAUGCACGAAAGCGUGGGUAUCAAACAGGAUUAGAUACCCUUGUAGUC